GCUGGCGGCAUGCCUUACACAUGCAAGUCGAACGGUAACAGGUCUUCGGACGCUGACGAGUGGCGAACGGGUGAGUAAUACAUCGGAACGUGCCCAGUCGUGGGGGAUAACUACUCGAAAGAGUAGCUAAUACCGCAUACGAUNUGAGGAUGAAAGCGGGGGACCUUCGGGCCUCGCGCGAUUGGAGCGGCCGAUGGCAGAUUAGGUAGUUGGUGGGAUAAAAGCUUACCAAGCCGACGAUCUGUAGCUGGUCUGAGAGGACGACCAGCCACACUGGGACUGAGACACGGCCCAGACUCCUACGGGAGGCAGCAGUGGGGAAUUUUGGACAAUGGGCGAAAGCCUGAUCCAGCAAUGCCGCGUGCAGGAUGAAGGCCUUCGGGUUGUAAACUGCUUUUGUACGGAACGAAAAAGCUCCUUCUAAUACAGGGGGCCCAUGACGGUACCGUAAGAAUAAGCACCGGCUAACUACGUGCCAGCAGCCGCGGUAAUACGUAGGGUGCGAGCGUUAAUCGGAAUUACUGGGCGUAAAGCGUGCGCAGGCGGUUAUGUAAGACAGAUGUGAAAUCCCCGGGCUCAACCUGGGAACUGCAUUUGUGACUGCAUGGCUAGAGUACGGUAGAGGGGGAUGGAAUUCCGCGUGUAGCAGUGAAAUGCGUAGAUAUGCGGAGGAACACCGAUGGCGAAGGCAAUCCCCNGGACCUGUAC
This 708-nucleotide ribosomal RNA is filed under the name Delftia lacustris. RNAcentral's name for it is "bacterial SSU rRNA". It matches the Rfam family "Bacterial small subunit ribosomal RNA", at positions 35 to 740 of the family's 1533-position model. The record is from RNAcentral. Lineage: Bacteria; Pseudomonadati; Pseudomonadota; Betaproteobacteria; Burkholderiales; Comamonadaceae.